AACGAACGCUGGCGGCAGGCUUAACACAUGCAAGUCGAACGCCCCGCAAGGGGAGCGGCAGACGGGUGAGUAACGCGUGGGAAUCUACCCUUGACUACGGAAUAACGCAGGGAAACUUGUGCUAAUACCGUAUGUGUCCUUCGGGAGAAAGAUUUAUCGGUCAAGAAUGAGCCCGCGUUGGAUUAGCUAGUUGGGGGGUA
RNAcentral lists this ribosomal RNA (200 nucleotides) under uncultured bacterium. RNAcentral describes it as "partial 16S ribosomal RNA". It matches the Rfam family "Bacterial small subunit ribosomal RNA", at positions 29 to 258 of the family's 1533-position model. The record is from RNAcentral.